GACGAACGCUGGCGGCGUGCUUAACACAUGCAAGUCGAACGGAAAGGCCCUGCUUGCAGGGUGCUCGAGUGGUGAACGGGUGAGUAACACGUGGGUGAUCUGCCCCUUACUUUGGGAUAAGCCUGGGAAACUGGGUCUAAUACUGGAUAGGACCAUGCUGUAGGUGGUGUGGUGGAAAGAUUAGUUUCGGUAAGGGAUGAGCUCGCGGCCUAUCAGCUUGUUGGUGGGGUAAUGGCCUACCAAGGCGUCGACGGGUAGCCGGCCUGAGAGGGUGGACGGCCACAUUGGGACUGAGAUACGGCCCAGACUCCUACGGGAGGCAGCAGUGGGGAAUAUUGCACAAUGGGCGCAAGCCUGAUGCAGCGACGCCGCGUGGGGGAUGACGGCCUUCGGGUUGUAAACUCCUUUCAGCCAUGACGAAGCCCUUGUGGUGACGGUAGUGGUAGAAGAAGCACCGGCUAACUACGUG
This 469-nucleotide ribosomal RNA is filed under the name uncultured bacterium. Its description in RNAcentral is "partial 16S ribosomal RNA". It matches the Rfam family "Bacterial small subunit ribosomal RNA", at positions 28 to 507 of the family's 1533-position model. The record is from RNAcentral.